This 497-nucleotide ribosomal RNA is filed under the name uncultured bacterium. RNAcentral's name for it is "partial 16S ribosomal RNA". It matches the Rfam family "Bacterial small subunit ribosomal RNA", at positions 28 to 507 of the family's 1533-position model. The record is from RNAcentral.
GAUGAACGCUGGCGGCGUGCCUAAUACAUGCAAGUCGAGCGAACAGACGAGGAGCUUGCUCCUCUGACGUUAGCGGCGGACGGGUGAGUAACACGUGGAUAACCUACCUAUAAGACUGGGAUAACUUCGGGAAACCGGAGCUAAUACCGGAUAAUAUAUUUAACCGCAUGGUUCAAUAGUGAAAGACGGUUUUGCUGUCACUUAUAGAUGGAUCCGCGCCGCAUUAGCUAGUUGGUAAGGUAACGGCUUACCAAGGCGACGAUGCGUAGCCGACCUGAGAGGGUGAUCGGCCACACUGGAACUGAGACACGGUCCAGACUCCUACGGGAGGCAGCAGUAGGGAAUCUUCCGCAAUGGGCGAAAGCCUGACGGAGCACCGCCGCGUGAGUGAUGAAGGUCUUCGGAUCGUAAAACUCUGUUAUUAGGGAAGAACAAAUGUGUAAGUAACUAUGCACGUCUUGACGGUACCUAAUCAGAAAGCCACGGCUAACUACGUG